GGGUCUAGAGACUAAGCUCUAGAGGAUAAAUUAAUAAGAUAGUCGGGCCGCUAUCU
RNAcentral lists this non-coding RNA (56 nucleotides) under unclassified sequences. RNAcentral's name for it is "Li+-I sequence". It matches the Rfam family "nhaA-I RNA". From Rfam's summary of the family: Acidobacteria, Alphaproteobacteria, Betaproteobacteria and Gammaproteobacteria, Verrucomicrobia, cand. division NC10. The record is from Rfam by way of RNAcentral.